CCGUUCCCCAAUCCUCUCUCUCCCUCCCGAUCUCUGCUCCGUCUUUCCCAUUCUCCUCCCCCUCUCCCUAAUGCAUCUCUGCCAUCUCUUCUAUCUCUCUCCACUGCAGCAGCCGUGAAGCUCCUACCCAAAGAAACACAUAUCAUUUGAAACCCUUCUCAUAUCUUUGAGGUAUCUUUUAAAACUGAAGGAAUCUGAGGCUCCUCUCCAUAGGUGGUGGUGCUGCUUCGAUUAUGCUUUGUCUAGUAAUGGUUGUGUUGAUGUUAAGGGGUGUGCCCAGCCCAUGCAGUAGUGCAACACAGGGGCACCACUUAAGGGCCAUGUUAUCGAGCUGCUAUGGUAGGCCCUCCCUUAGAGGAAAUUAAUUUAAUAUUAUGUGGAUUGAUGGCCCACAUAUCUUUAAACAUCAAUUUCAGCUAAUAUCUUUGCACGUGCAUUGGGUGUCAGCUAUCGGAUUUAAUUUAUUUACUAGAAACAAACAUUGGAAGAGAGCAGAAAGUUUAAAGGUUUUUAUCUGCAUUCAUAUGCUUUAAUGUCAUCUGUUAAUGAAUUUGUUCUCAACAUCAUCACAACAGGACAUUUCCAUCUUUUAAUGCUGAGAUGAUCUCAGUAGACUAUCUUACAUGUUUCUAAGGGUGUGUUUGGAUACAUGGAAUCCAUGUGGAAAUGGAAAUUGUUCCACUGACAAGAUAGUUGGGCUGUUUGGAUAUGUGGUUUUCAUACAGUAAUCACUGCACCUAUCUAUGGUUAGAAUGCUCUGGCACAGGAAACAAGGAUGACCAUUGUGUAUUGAAUUUGAGGAUUCUGCUUGCUAUCCAAACAUGCAUUCCAUUUUUGGAAUCCUACUUUCUAUAGUGACCAUGGAAAUUAUCAUUGGACACGGAAUUUAAAUGAAAUCCUUAUAUCCAAACAUGCCCUAAAGUUGUUGCUUUGUGAUUGGUGUUGCUUCUCUCUUACUGAAUUUGGUCUUGUGUUCAAUUUAUUGUAUUGGUGUUGGGUGAACAUGAAUGUUUCAGGCGAGUGAAACUAUUGUGGUGAAUUGGGGUUUCUACAGUGAAAAUGGAGGUUUUAAGAUAUGAUCACAUUUAUUCUAGUGAGAGUUGUUCCGUUGUCCUCAAGGACUCUAUUUCCAUGUAAAUUUCUCAUGUUUUUUCUUUUUCUUUCCACCUUUGGCCUCAAUAAAUUUGCACCAUCUUUCCCAGAUUAACCUUUUGAAAUGAAAACAUUACAAACCUUUAAUUUGUUUCUUAUGGAUAUCUUCCUGACUGGAGGAGAUGUGUUGAUUGAUUCCUCUUCAUCCAUCAUACAUCCAGCUCACUCUUGUUGUUUCUCUAUUUUAUUUUGGUGCUAAUGUAAUUUUCUAAGUUAACCAUUAUUUAUUUACUUUUAUAGUUUACAAAAAACUAGAAGUUAGAGGAUAGAUAGGCACUGCUUUGACGCACUCUAAAGCAAUUUAUACUUGAAAUUGCUGGGAGUUCUUAUUGUAAGUGAGAGGGUAACAAGGAAAACUUCCCUAGCUCUAGCAAUAGCUGCAGAAGCUAAGGUACUAGUUGUUGAAGUUAAAGCUCGCCAACUGGAGGCUGGAUUGUGGGUUGCCCAAAACGCCGCAAAUGUUAGGGAGCUGUUUCAAACAGCAAGGGAUUUGGCAUAAGUGAUAAUCUUUGUUGAGGAUUUCAACCUCUUUGUCGGUGUUCGUGGGAAGUUUAUUCACACAAAAGAGCAGGACCAUGAGGCAUUUAUCAAUAAACUUCUUGUGGAACUUGAUGGGUAGAGUUCUUUUUUUUUUUUCCGGUACAAAAAGUCAUAAUCUUCUAGAGGAAAACUGUGAUCCUCUGCUAGAGCAUGUUGAGUGAUGUGAAGGCACUUCAAGUUAAAACUCACUUAAAAACUACAUAGUAAUUCAUCUGAAGCUGUCUAAAUUAUGGCCACUGACAGCAAUGUUGAAGCGGGUAUUGGUUUAGCAGGUAAUUCCUGAAAGUAGACAAAAUCUUAUUUAUUGGAAGCUUGCUGCUGCUUUUCUUGUGAGCUUUGACUGAACUUUUUUAGUACUUUUUAAAAAAAAUACUUCUUAAUACUUAUUUUUAGAAGGAAAAAGGUAGAAGGCAAUGGAAAACCGAAUGAUGAUAUCAGAUAAUAUGUAAAAGGCGAGGGAACCAUGGAUGUGGAUAGAAAUCCAAAAUAAACAUGUUACAUUAAUUUUGUUGUGAGGAAACCACUGAUAAUUUCUUGUAGAUUUGUCUACACCUUAUUUUUUGCUACAUGUCUAAAUCAAUGGAUAGCUGAUGUCUGACUUGGUUUAUAGUUAUGGCACACCUAAUGAGUCAAAUGGCCUGAUUUUUAUGCCAAGUGAUCGUCAUGGUGGGGCCCACCUUUUUCUUGGAUCCAAUUUGCUACGAAUGAGACAUAUUUGAGGGAAAGAUGGGGUUGUAUGUGAAAGCUAUUUCUCUAAAUGAGAUUCUUGCCUGGAAUGCUUUCUGUUUUUAAGCACGGAAACCAUAUGCUUUUUACAGGAUGUGUUUAGAUGAUAAACAUUGCAUGUGAAGUACUAUUUACACUGAAACCCCUUUUUUCAAGGAAUUUUUUUUUUUUUAUUCACUUUACAGGUAAAGAGUUUACAAGCCAAUUGUUUGAUACUUGGGAGAAUAUAAUGUUUAAUACACAUGCAUCUUUGUAGGUGGGGCCCAUCGUGAUGGGCGCAUGAUAACCAAUAUGUCCAUCCUGUGCAUUCAUUGACGUGAAACUGGCUAUAUGAAAAACUGAUUUGGAUUUAUCACAUUUGAUUGGAAACAAGAUUUUCUUGAAUUGGAAUUUGCAAGAU
Long non-coding RNA from Magnolia sinica, 2818 nucleotides. RefSeq lists it as uncharacterized. The transcript is spliced from 3 exons. Lineage: Eukaryota; Viridiplantae; Streptophyta; Magnoliopsida; Magnoliales; Magnoliaceae. The record is from RefSeq and is a predicted model, not a curated record.